CUGGCCUGGAGAUGUGGCCGCGGCGGAGAGGUGGACACAGCCUGGGAGGCUGCUGGACCGGUGCGCGUGGUAUGGCGGGCUCUUAUUGCAUGUCCAGGGCCAUGUCAGGUGCGCUCUGUCCUGUUGCUUCUGUGGAUUGCAGAGGGUCUGCGACCGGUCCAGGCGGGUUACGGUAUGCGCCCAAUGACCAGUUCGGAGGAGCCGUAUCUGGAGAACAAGCCUGGCUUUCGUUUGGCCAGCCUUGCAUUGCUCCAGCUCUCCAGUACUCUUCCUUGUAUAUGCGAGCGGAGGAUCAUACAAGUUUUGCUUCUCGUCUCAACAUCACUCCACAGUUUGAACGGACAAUCAUUUCGACCCACGUUAUCAUCUUCCAUCGGUGCAUAAAUGACUUUAAGUUUAAACCUAUGGGCACGAGAGUCGCUAUUGUAAAUAAGCGCCGACAGUCCUCAUCAAGACUCUUACUCUCUGUUCUCUCUGUUCUUUUAUUCAUUGGAAAUAUUGAACUUAACACUGGUCCUGGCAAAAAUGCCUUUAUGUCCACCUUUCUAUAUUUCCUGGGAUUUUAUACUUAUGUUUUAAAUAACACUCUGGGCCUGGGUUUAUAUGCAGGUGUCCCACACAUGGACCUAUCUCAACUGCAGUGCACUCAACAACCUGUAGGCAUAACGACUAUACCUCAGUUGCUAUUUAAAUCUCUUGUUAUUCCAGGCUUUAAUUCUAAACCUGUUAAAGCACAAAAAAGACCAUCAAGUCUAAGGAAAAAUCCAGUUACCUUAUGCCAGCUUGGUAGAAUUAGAGGUUUCAAAAUUUGUCAUCUAAACAUGAGAAGCCUUGUUUCCAAACUGGAUGAAUUUAAAAUCAUGGUUGCUCAAACUAAGGCUCAUGUCAUGGCAAUAUCUGAAUCAUGGCUGACCCCUGCUAUAUCAGAUUCCUUUCUUGCGAUUGAAAAUUAUUCAUUAUAUCGCAGAGACAGGACUGAUAAAAUUGGUGGUGGUGUUGCUCUUUAUGCGAAUAAAAAAUAUGCACAUUCUAUAGUAAAAUUCCAGUGUUUUGUGACCUUAGGGAGCGUGAUGGAUUGUAGCGUGGUAGAAGACUAGUUAGGUACGCAGGAACUAAACCAUUAAGGGCCUUAUAGGUAAGUAAUAAUAUUUUGUAACUGACAUGGAACUUAAAGGGGUGGUAAAACAAUAUUAUAGAUAUUUUGUAAAGUAUAUGUAUUUAAGCAGUUUGGUUCGAAACCUGGAUGCUCAAACAUACAUGUAGGAGGGUCUGGAACCUCCAUCAUUCAUUUUACAACCUAAACAGAAUGUAAGACAAUGAGUAUAUACUGUACAAUUAAAGUAAACAAUUAGUUGAAGUGACUCGGAAACUGUUGAACGUAUAGUAAAUUUUAGACUGAGAGACCAUUUAAAGGUC
Cyprinus carpio (common carp) is the source of this 1416-nucleotide long non-coding RNA. NCBI's taxonomy places the organism in Eukaryota, Metazoa, Chordata, Actinopteri, Cypriniformes, Cyprinidae. The record is from Ensembl.